RNAcentral lists this ribosomal RNA (688 nucleotides) under Dietzia sp. a3(2010). Its description in RNAcentral is "bacterial SSU rRNA". It matches the Rfam family "Bacterial small subunit ribosomal RNA", at positions 388 to 1089 of the family's 1533-position model. The record is from RNAcentral. Lineage: Bacteria; Bacillati; Actinomycetota; Actinomycetes; Mycobacteriales; Dietziaceae.
GCAGCGACGCCGCGUGGGGGAUGACGGUCUUCGGAUUGUAAACUCCUUUCAGUAGGGACGAAGCGAAAGUGACGGUACCUGCAGAAGAAGCACCGGCCAACUACGUGCCAGCAGCCGCGGUAAUACGUAGGGUGCAAGCGUUGUCCGGAAUUACUGGGCGUAAAGAGCUCGUAGGCGGUUUGUCACGUCGUCUGUGAAAUCCUCCAGCUCAACUGGGGGCGUGCAGGCGAUACGGGCAGACUUGAGUACUACAGGGGAGACUGGAAUUCCUGGUGUAGCGGUGAAAUGCGCAGAUAUCAGGAGGAACACCGGUGGCGAAGGCGGGUCUCUGGGUAGUAACUGACGCUGAGGAGCGAAAGCAUGGGGAGCAAACAGGAUUAGAUACCCUGGUAGUCCAUGCCGUAAACGGUGGGCGCUAGGUGUGGGGUCCUUCCACGGAUUCCGUGCCGUAGCUAACGCAUUAAGCGCCCCGCCUGGGGAGUACGGCCGCAAGGCUAAAACUCAAAGGAAUUGACGGGGGCCCGCACAAGCGGCGGAGCAUGUGGAUUAAUUCGAUGCAACGCGAAGAACCUUACCUAGGCUUGACAUAUACAGGACGACGGCAGAGAUGUCGUUUCCCUUGUGGCUUGUAUACAGGUGGUGCAUGGUUGUCGUCAGCUCGUGUCGUGAGAUGUUGGGUUAAGUCCCG